Molecule: long non-coding RNA, 1047 nt
Organism: Triticum dicoccoides
Lineage: Eukaryota; Viridiplantae; Streptophyta; Magnoliopsida; Poales; Poaceae
Exons: 5
Source: RefSeq, a predicted model, not a curated record
AUAAUUGUUUAGUCUGCUGCUUAGUUUUCUCCCGUGCGCAGGAGCAAGCUCUUAUCUACCUGCGUAUUAAGCCUUGUCAGGUCGACGACCAGAAGCAAAUGGAGUGCCCAAACUGUUUAGACACUAAAGGUUUGUGCGACAAGGAUGGAUUGGACGAUAAUUACUUCCACCUAACACUUCCAGAGGACUUCAAACUUGUGACGCGCAUCCCCUGCUUUGCAAGGGGUGAACUACUAAAGAAGUUGAAGGUUGCCAGGGAUGAGGAGACCACCACGACCACCUUCCUUAAGACGAAAGAAGGCUUUUGUUUCAAGGUUAUGAUCCAAAAUGAAAAAGAUCGAAGCUUUUUCGGUUUCAAUUGUCCUAAUUGGACAUCAUUUUCCAAAGCAUACAAUUUCGAGGUUGGGAUGGAACUAUGCUUAUAUAUUGGCCAAAAACUGAUUGUGACAUUUGGGUGGACUUGGACAAGCUUCCAAUUAUUCCUCCAUGUUAUUUCUUAGUGCCAAGAGAAACUCAGAGGAUGGUAGAUCACAUGUAUUAUACUACUGGCACCACAAUUACAUGGGAAGAGAUGGAGGAGGUCAUAAGAUUUCUGGAUGUCAUCGAGGACGGCGUGAGGCAUUACCAUUCCGGAACCACCAUUGGACCAUAUGUGCCACUAGCGCACAUCUUGAACAUGAGAAACAUUAAUAAGAAGUACCUGAAAAUCCCAAGACCAUGUGUGCCUCCGCAAAUGCCUGCUAAUGGUGACAUGCAAAUCAUUGUCCAUGACAAAACAAACUUCACAGGCACCUACUCGACUUCAGCAGAUGAUGGAUGCGUCUUCAUCAAUGGGUGGAAGCAUCUACUUGAGACCUACCAUAUAGAAAUCGGGGAUAGGUUGAUCGCAGUGCUACACCAUGGACCUCGAGGACCUUUCCUCUUUCUCACCUCCAUAUUUGAUGGUGUUUUAGAGUAUCAUAAAACAUGAAUAUCGUUUAUGGUUAAAUCUAAAUGUGCUUUAUGGUUUUGUUGGAAAUAUGCCCUAGAUGCAAUAACGAAGUUGUU